This is an RNA transcript of Labeo rohita (rohu), 1575 nucleotides long. It is a transcript of the gene named telomeric repeat binding factor (NIMA-interacting) 1, with no coding region annotated. The record is from RefSeq and is a predicted model, not a curated record. The transcript is spliced from 11 exons. Lineage: Eukaryota; Metazoa; Chordata; Actinopteri; Cypriniformes; Cyprinidae.
UUUCGACAUAAACAUGAAAAUGGAGGGCACGUCGAAUGAGGUAAUAUCCAGCACGACUGAUAAAAUAAACUUAACUGAAGUCGAGGGUGUUGUCCAAUCAUGGAUCAUCGAUUAUUACUUCGCGUCACUCUGUCGGCUCUUCAGAGAGAGAUCUGCGGAGGAGUUUCGUAAAACUUUGAAACUAUUUGAAAGUAUAGUGGAUGAUCUUGAGCCGUGUUCCCACAGGUCAGAUCAUCCCACUCAGAGAACGAUCUGCUGCUUGCUUGCCAGAGUGAUGGACGGAGAAUAUUUGGAAGUCCGGUAUGAUCACGUUUCUCAAAUCACUCCCUUGAUGUCAGCGUUGCCCAUUUGGGAGUCAUUAAAGGAAGUAUCUGAUUCGGACUUGCAUGCCAAGAUCAAGACGCUACUUAUAGUUCAGUCUGUUGCAGUCUGUGUGAAGAAAGGUAAUUCACAGUUGGCAAAAGAAACCCUGAAGUGGCUGGAAAAAGAGACCGAGUUACCAGAGAAACUACAAGGAAAGCUGACCACCAUUGUGAGUAAAAAGGAUGCAUAUGAUCAGCUCCUGAUGAACUUCACUUUCAACCAGCUGCUGGAGAACAUUGACACGUUCCUCGACACAUUCAACCAGGACAGUUCCUCCGUUUUCUUACUCGAAGCAGCUUUAAAAGUCGUUCAAGCCCGUCAUGAGAGAUCAGAGAAAACCUCAUCUGAACAGGAUGGAAGUGAGAAGACGCCAUCGAGCCCAGAGUCAAACAGGCCGGAAGAAAAUGAGGAGCAAGUGGAUCCACUGGUGGUAAAUAUCAGACCCAAAAGGAAACUUCUUUCAAAACAAACCCAUGACCUAUGGAAACCGGAAAGUGCCAAGAAAGUACAAACCUUGCGCAAGAGGACCUCCAUUUGCAAGAUUUCCAGAAGGAGUGGUGUCUCUUCAGAAUUGCAAAGCAAUGUUAGUGUGACAAGCCAAACCAGGAGGAAAUGGACUAAAGAAGAAGAUAGCAAGCUGAAAGCAGGUGUGAGGAAGUAUGGGGAGGGCAAAUGGCGAGUGAUCCUGGACAACUUUGACUUUGACAACCGCACCGGUGUUAAUCUUAAGGACAGAUGGAGAAUCCUGAAGAAAACGGGAGAAGACGAUUAAGCUGCUGGCGGCUUCUGCUUUUACUAUUUAAAGAGCUUUUUGAAAAUAUAUUCCUGACACUGUCAGAGGUGUUUUUUUUUUAUAUAUAUAUAUAUAUAUAUAUAUAUAUAUAUAUAUAUAUAUAUACAUAACUCAUUAACACAAGUGUUUCAGUUUGAGGAACUGAACUGAAAGUUCUAUUGUUAUGCAUGCAGUUUCACAAAGUAACUUUGGAAUUCAUCAGCGCUAUUUUUGUAAAUUAAACUGUUUAGCUGAAGUAUUGUUGCUGAAAAACAAACUUUCUGUUGCUGUUUGUUUGAACUGCAGCACCAACUUUUAUCCACUAGAGGAUGCAGGUGAGGCAAAUGAGCAGUGCUGGAGUCUCUGUACUUUCCUCCAUGUUCCUCUGCAGCGAGGGCUUCCCACCGCCUGCCAGUGUAGAAGCUUAUCCCUGCCAACAC